UUUCUUUCGUUAGAAGAGAAAGAAAGAGAAUAAUAAGGAGGGAAAAUGAAAGAUAAAGUUGCAUUUUACGUACUAUUUAUUUCUUGACUACAACUAUUUUGCUUGCAUCACAGUAUUGAGAUGAUCUUUUGUUUUAAAUUUAAUUUGAAGAUAUAUUUUUUGAAUUUGAAGAUAAAGUUUUCAUUUUAAGUUGAAAACUCUUUUUUGAAUUUUCUACUAAUAUAGAAACAUGAGUGGAAAGCUGGAUCGUCGUCCGCCUAAGGCAAUUAUGACAUUUUCAUGAAACCCAGAAGCUUCUUCUUAUUUUUUUCUUUUAACCAAACCGAGCUUCUUUUUCUUAACCAAACCCAGAAGCUACUCACUUUCUUGACGCGCCACUUUCUGUUAAAAAAAAAUAUAUCAGCAAAUCAAGAAGCUUUUAGUAGAAAAAUAUAGUGUAAUUUUUGCUCAUAUCAUCUAGCUCAGAUUGUUGCUGCAGUUUUCAAAUAUUUGUUUUUGAAGUUUUAUUUCAAUUUUACUAUAAUAGAAGAGUGGGUUUAACCACCAGAUUGUCGUCAAUCCAUUCUCACUGCUAAAGGGCAUUUUCAUCAUUUUAGGUCUAAGCCCUUUUCUUAUUUCAAUCCAGCUUUCAGCCAAGUGCCAUAUCCUAUCUGUCAUAGUAAAUCAAUUUUCUCAGGUUAAUCAGAGUAGUAUUGUGAAAUUUCCAGCAUGCUUUUGGUGCUUGCAGAGAAGAGCUUUACUCAAUGCUAUUGGUAACUUGGGGCUAAUAGGACCUUAUGGAGAUGCUUUAACUAAGCUUGAAUGCAGUUUAGAUUGGAUGGAGAGGUUUCUACUCCAUUGACUUCUUCAGGAGCCAUUUCUAGAAUGGCUUACAGGUAGUAUACGCCACGUCAUCAGUGCUGUUUGGAUUAAAGAACAAGUAUAAGGACUGACAAGCAGAAGUUAUUGGAGUUGUUUCUUGAAAACUUUAGUCACUAUUGCUCAUCUGGUAAUGGUAAUAAAUUUUCUCCGCUUGAGAAAUUCUGUUACUACAAAGCUUAAAUCUAUAAAUGGAGAAGAGAAUAAUGACUAAGUUGAUUAAAUUUUGGAUAAUUUAAAGGUACGAAAAGUAAUAUAACUACCUGUACAAGAUAAUAACUACAUAAUUUUUGAAGUCAAUUAUUGACUUAUUGCUAAGAAAAAAAAAAGAGCAACGUUUAAAUGUUUAAGCUUUUAAUUGGAGAUGAAAUUGUGCAAUUUACCGGUAUUUUUUAUUACUAACUGCAUAAGUUCAUGGUGAACAUAUUAUGUUGCUGAACUCUCGAUUGACAAGGUGAACAUUAUUCUAUAAGACUUUCAUUGGAUUGUAAAGUUUGGAAUAUAUACUGACAUGGUGUAUUGAUGCGGAAGUACGAAUAUAGCACUUAAAUCACAUAAAAUAUAAAACAGAAUUCAGGUUAUCUCCUCUUGAAUUUUGACCAACUCUUUUUUUCCCCCUUCCUUAAUCUAGUAUGAUGCAUUUUGUCUGAUGUGUCUUUCAGAGGCUUUUUCCUGAUAUGUUCUGAUUUUUAGAUGCUUGUGUAUUACUGAUACUUUGGUUCCUACAUUGUUUCUGUCUUCUUCAGAUUUACUCUCUAUUAUGGUAAUUGCGUGUUCAUCAUUUCAGAGUCGGCUAAGUAUUGCUUCUUCCUGUUGCAAGGAGGCCAACAUCCCAAAGUUGAUCCUUAUAUUUUGGAUGGUUAAGACUUAAGCAUUAGAAAUUAUUGGUCAUGUUAUUGUCAUUUAAAGUUGUUAAGUAACAGAAUAACUUUUUUUUUCUUCAAUUUAUGUAUCCUUUGAGUGGUAGACAAUGACGAAUCAUUGGAAUAACUUAACAUGCUAGACCAGUAGUUUGUACAUGCUACAUUACGGAGAGAACGUUGUUGAGUACAUCAUCUUUGUUUUUUUCGUUCAUUUUUCUGUAUUCUAAAUUGGUACAAUGUGAUGAAACUAUUUGUAAUAUUGAGCUUAUAUGCAGAUUUAAUCUCUGCAUUCAGUUGGAUUUCCUGCAA
Lycium barbarum (goji berry) is the source of this 2030-nucleotide long non-coding RNA. RefSeq lists it as uncharacterized. The transcript is spliced from 2 exons. The record is from RefSeq and is a predicted model, not a curated record. Lineage: Eukaryota; Viridiplantae; Streptophyta; Magnoliopsida; Solanales; Solanaceae.